RNAcentral lists this long non-coding RNA (6295 nucleotides) under Sus scrofa (pig). Its description in RNAcentral is "lncRNA (ENSSSCG00000051304.1)". Lineage: Eukaryota; Metazoa; Chordata; Mammalia; Artiodactyla; Suidae. The record is from RNAcentral.
UGGCUCUCAAUUUAUUGUAACUGCCUUUUUAUUGGAUCAAACUUUUGAUUCCUUGUAAGCAAAAUGAACAAACCUUCUUUCCAUUUAAAAAAAAAAAAAGACACAAUAUGGUCCAAUACAAAGGAAGGGGCGGAGGGCAAAUACAGCAUGAAAGCUCUCAACAUCCCUGCACCUGUCACUUAGCAGGUGAAAAAAUUACAGGGUUGGAGCCAGUAGUUUCUCCAAAUGACUCUGAGGACUUAUAAAAAUACUAUCCAGCUUUUCUUUAAUGCUUUACAGUCUUCCAAAUAUCUUCAGAUAUAUCGUCCCACUCACAUUUGAAAACUACGUAUGCACAGGCCACCCUCCUGUUCCUCUCACCCCAAGGUAAGGAAAUGUACCUUAGAGAUGAGGUCGUAACUAGGGCGGCUAUAAGUUAUCAAGUGGCAAAGCAGCACAACUGGGAAAGCACCUCUUCUUGCUCUAAAAGCCAUCGUGGUCUGUCCCACCACAGCCAGAGGGCAGGCCUGGCUGUUCACACCUGGCCCCAUUACCAGUGCUUCGGCAGAGGGGGCCCAGUUUGAGCAGGUGCUCCUUUCCCUCCAGGUAAUGGAAGCCUCUCGGUAGAGAAGGACAGGGACUGCAGAAUGAAAGCAGUGUCACAUGCCUUUCCACUCUCCCCACCCCCCACCUCUCCUGCCCCAAGAACCAGGGAGCCAGAGCAAGCCACUAAGACCAAGCCGGGAAGAAGGCAGCAGGUCUAAAGGCAUACAACGUGGCCCAUGCCACGAGCGGUGGUCAUCACACUGGGGUCCAUGAAGACACCCCUCGUGCUCAGCUAAAGAAAGACCAGACCCAGCCAUCACAGUCUUGCAAUGGUGCAUUGCCCUCUGAUAGAAGGACUUCCGGAGCCAAAUCUAUGCACAAAGCGAGAAUGUAACUGCUUGAGGGAGAAUCCAGAAACUAAGCCAAGAGAGUUUGGGUGAAAAAUAGGGAGGCCUUGGAGUUUCCAUUGUGGCUCAAUGGGUUAAGAACCCGACACAGUGUCCUUGAGGAUGCGGGUUCUACCUCUGGCCCUGCUCAGCAUGUUAAGAAUCUGGAGGUGCCACCAGCUGCAGUGUAGGUCACAGAUGUGGCUCUGAUGGGUGUUGCUGCAGCUGUGACGCAGGCCUGCAGAUGUAUCUCUGAUUUGACACCCUAGCCCGGAACUUCCAUAUGCUGCAGGUGCAGCCCUAAAAAAAAAAAAAAAUCAAAACAUAUAGUGAGGCCUUGAAUAUGGACUUUACUUCUUCCAGGUGACAGCGGCUGGAAGGCCUAGUGCCUUAUGCUUCUAUUCCUGUCUGCCCAGACAUCCACGCGUCCUGGAGGGGGCAUUCAGAACUGAAAAGUUUACAUGCCAACCAAUAUUAAUACAUGUAUUGGAGUAGUAUUUGACAUUGAUUUCUAUUCAAAUAGAAAUGGGAAUAGAUUUGCAAAGAACCCAUUUUUUCUGACAGGACGUCUACUAUGACUGAUUUGAAAUAAAGACGAGUUCGGCGGAGUUCCCGCUGUGGAGUAAGGGAGUCAGCUGUGUCUCGGCAGCACUAGGAGGCAGGUUCCAUCUCUGGCCUGCCCAGCACAGUGGGUUAAAGGGUCUGGGCACUAUAGGUCACAACUGUGGCUUGGAUAUGAUCCCUAGUCUGGGAAUUCCACAUGCCAAAGGGCAACCAAAAAUGGGGGGAAAAAAAAAGAAGAAGAUCAGUUCUGCCGUUUAGAGUAUCUGAUACAUCUGAAAAUUGAAUGAGCCCAAUUUUCAGCCCUGAGGCUUGAUGGAAUAUGAUUAAAGCAAAAGGACAAUAAAUAGCCCAGAAAUCACAUCCAUGGCCUUGCCUAAAUGUAGAAGUUCCUAAAUUUUUACCAGGAGGUACAUAGAUUUUCAAAAUUAUUUUCAGGACUCCAUGACCAAAAAGGAUACUUGUUAACUGACAUUACGAACCUAUGUGGUGUGGUGAGAUUUUAUAUAUAUAUAUGUAUAUAUAUAUAUAUGUGUGUGUGUGUGUGUGUGUGUGUGUGUGUAUAUGUAUGUAUGUAUGUAUGUAUGUAUGUUUUAUCCGGUUCCUGGAAAAGAGCUUCACAAGCCCUUGGAACAUCUUUUGUUCUUCACAACCGCCAUGGCCCGAGUGUUUGCGUCCCCCAGAACCUGUGUGUUGAAGUCCUACCCUUCAAGUUGAUGGUGUUUGGAGUGAGGCCUUUGGGAGGGAUGAGGGUUCGAUGAGGACAUGAGAGUGGGGCCCUUAUGAUGAAAUUAAUGUUCUUAUAAGAGGAAAAAGAGGAGUUCCCGUUGUGGCUCAGCAGGUUAAGAAUCUGGCUAGUAUCCAUGAGGCCCUGCUCAGGAUCUAGUGUUGCCGUGAGCUGUGGUGUAGGUCACAGAUGCAGCUUGGAUCUGGCAUGGCUGUGGCUGUGGUGUAGGUCUCAGCUGCAGGUCUGAUUUGGCCCCUGCCCUGAGAGUUUCCAUUUGCUGCAGGUGCAGCCCUGAAAAAAAAAAAAAAAAAGAAUAAAAAGAGAUCAGAGCCCUUCCACCCCAACCCCUGCAUCCAUGGGAAGACACAGCAAGCAGGAAGCAGUCUGCAGGCUGGGUUGAGGGCCUUCACCAGGGGCUUGGAUCAACCAGCACUUUGAUCUGGGACUUCCAGCCUCCAUGACUGCAAGAAAUAGACUCCUAUACCGUAAGCUUUUGUUAGGCAGCACAAGCCAAUAGAAUAGCAACAACCCCCUUCCUACUUUAUCUGACUCUUGGGAGGGAGGUGAGCGGAGCUGGAGUUCAAUCCUGUGGCCAGUGGUUUAUUCUAUAAUGUCCAGAUAACGAAAACUUGAUUUGAAGACUCUGAAUGCCAGGCUUGAGGGAGCUUCCCCCUUGGUGACCAUAUGGAUGUACCAGGAAGAAAGCUGGCACCCGACUCAUGGGGACAGGAGCUCCUGCACCCUGGACCCUCCCAGCCCUGGCCCACCUGCUCUUCUGGCUGUUGCCUCACAGCUUUCCAGAUAAGGUAAGCCAUUAAGUAUAGCCUUUCCCCAAGUUUUGUGAGUCAUUCUAACAAACUACCACACCUCAGAGGGUUAGAGAGGGACCCAGACUUGAAAUGUACCCUGGGGACCCUGCUUGCAGCCGGCAUCUAAAACGAGGCCAGUGGUUGUCAGGUCAAGACCUUGCCCUUCCACCUGUGGGGCCUGAUGUAACUCCAGGAGAUUACGUGUCAGAAUUGAAUCCAAUUGUAGGACACGCAGUCAAUACUGGGGAUCGUCAGAGAAGCACAUUAGAGGGGAGGCCUCCAGAACCUUCUCAUCUUCCCGAACUGAAGCUCCAUUAACCAGUAACUCCCCAUCUCCCCUCCCCCAGACCCAGUAACCACUAGCCUACUCUGCCUCCAUGGACUUGAUGACUCUAGGGACCACAUGUAAGCAGGGUCAUAGAGUAUUUCUACUUUUGCGUCUGGUUUAUUUCAUUUAGCAUAAGGCCCACCAGGUUCAUCCGUGGCGUGUACAAAGGUCUUUUCACGUCCUUGCUUCCAAUUCUUUGGUGGGAAUACCCAGAAGUGGAAUUGCAGGAUCAUGUGGUGAUUGUAUGCAUAAUUUUGGGGGGCACCGUGUACUGUUUUCCAGUCACUGUAGCUGCACCUUUUUAUACUGUGACUUGGGGGAGUCACAUGACCUGUUAGCCUGGGAAGGCUGGAAAGGCCUGAGACACACAAACGUUUCCCCCCACCCCCCAUUCUGAGUGCAUCAGCAUCUUCACAGAUGUCUGCACAUCCCUGACUCCUGGACCAGUGUCCCGCCCGGUUGCUGGGUGAAGGGGGGCUGCUCCACGCCAUGGCAUCAGGGGGUCAGCAGAGCACAGUAAAGACAGCAGCCACGGCAAAGGAGGGAGAACCUUAGACAGCAGGCCAGCCACCACCUCAAGCCCCCAAUAAUGACAAAGGUCUCCCCCUGAGGCAGCGAGCAUCCCAGAGCCCCUCACCUGUGGGUCCUUGAAACCCUCACAGCCAAGGGCCAGGUGUCACUAUUGCAAUGUUUCCAGGGAAACACCCGUGCCAAGUCACACCAGAGCCAGGCCACAGGUCUGCACAUGUGUGCCGUGCCCCAAGGGGCUGGGCAAGGAGCGCAGUCCUUCCCGUCUGGGGCUAAAAUCAACUGGACGGCUCUUCAGACACCCACGGUCUCUCCACGGUGCUGUCACGUCUCCGUGUUCCCAGCACUGGUAGCUUGUUUGGGGGUUGCGGUUUCUUGCUGUUACACUGAGAAGGAGACUCAGCAGGAACCCAAAUGAGAGAAAGAUAUUCCGGGUGAGUUGGGGCUGCAUUAACUUGGGAUUAAGAGAUGCCAGGUAAGGGAGUUCCCGUUGUGGCUCAGUGGGUUAAGAACUCAACUAGUAUCCAUGAGGUUUGCAGGCCUCACGCAGUGGGUUAAGGAUCCAGUGUUGCUGCAGGCAGUAGGGCAGGUCACAGAUGUGUCUCGGAUCCAGUGUUGCCUCGCUUGGAUCCAGUGCGGCUCUGGAGAAGCUGGCAGCUGCAGCUCCUAUUGGAACUCUAGCCUGGAAACUUCCAUAUGCAGGAUGUGCAGCCCUAAGAAGGGAAAAAAAAAGAGAGAGAGAGAGAGGCCAGUUAAGGAAGUUGUGUUGGAGAAAUAAUAUCUGCCGCGACUCUGAAGCCCUUGGUUCACCACUAAAUCCCCGCUCCUUCAAGACCCCUGUGGACUGACCUACCGUCUAUAAAACAAAACAGGAGGGUACUUACUACCUUCCUUAGGGUCCUGCGACAGUUGUUGAGCUGACUUCCUGCUGCACCCGGAAAAAAACUCACAUCUGACAGGGACCUGGGUCUACAGGGAUCUCCCUGGUACUUCUGCGCCAUCACAACAAGAGUUCAGCGGGUGCUCCCCGCGUGUGUGCGCCCUCCAGCCCUGGCGCGGGCCCUCACGGGUGGGCGGGGAGGGCUCUUUCUCCCCGCAGAUGGCAGAGCCCAGGGCUGCGACGUGCCCUGCCUCCCACAGCCAGCAGAGGGCAGCACAGACCCACCCGGGAGCCUUGGCGAGGCCUCAGCAUCUGUAACGGAGAACGUCAUCCAGAAUCAUCCACCUGAGCCCCGCCCUAGAGGCGGGGCGGCGGGCGGGCUCCCGGAUGGCUUCCAGCGGGAGAGGGUGGAGGGGCUGCCGCCAGUGGGGGCCCUGCAGAGGCAGCCCGCGCAGGAGGACCAGCCCUUCUCUCGCUGGUAACUGCCCAGGGUCUGCGUUCCCUCUGCUUUACCACGCGGGACCCCGCAGGCACACUUUCGUGGGAGGGGUGCGAUCAGGACCAGCGCCCCACGGCAUAGAGUGAGGGGACCCGUGGCAUGCUCAGCCUGGCCCUGGGUCUGAGGGAUCAGACGCAGUCUUCACGGGCUGCAGGCUGGCCCAGCUCAGGGAGCCAGAGGCUGAGGCGACACUGACCGGGUCUGGGUCUGAGCGGAGGUUUGCCAUCAGGAAAGAAGCCACUGAAAACGGAACUGCACAUCAAACCCCAGUCACGUGGGUGGAGGCCAGCUGAGAAGUCCACUGGGCUGGGGGACCUGGGGACGUCCCCAAAGCAGAUGCUGCCAGACGCACCAGAGACAGGAAGGGACGGCCUGCACUCUCCCUUCCUUCCGCCCUCCAGCCUCAAGACCCGGGUUGCUGCUGACGCACCCCAGGAGGAAGCUGAAGAUCACUUACAUAUGGAAUCUAAAAUAGGUCACAAAUGAACUUAGCUGUAGAACAGAAACAGACGCACAGAUGUAGAGAACAGAAUUGUGGUUGCCAAAGGCGAGGCGGGCAGCGAAGGAUUGGGAGCUUGGGAUUCGCAGAUGCAAACUGUUGGAUAUAGAAUAUGGAUAAACAAGGUCCUCCGAGAGCACAGGCAACUAGUCAGCAUCUUGUAAUAAACCGUCAUGGAAAAAAUUACAAAAAAGUGUACAUAUAUCUAUGGGUGUGCUUGUGUAUAUAAAAUAUACAAAUGUGUACAUUCGUAUGUAUAUGUCUGCAUACAUAUGUAUAAAUCACGCUGCUGUACAGCAGAAAUUAACACAAUAUUGAAAAUUAACUAAACCUGAAUUUAACAAAAACCCCUGCAGGUUAUAUUUUCCAUGCGCUCAACUACCUUGUUUGGCUGCCGGGUUCUCUGGUAAGAGUCUCCUUAUUUUAUGCACCACUGUAUCCUCUUGGGUAAUUCUAAAGCACAAAAAAAGGGUUAGGACACCCAUAUUCUCCUAGGAAAUGUUCAAAAUUGUAGUUGCCCCUUCUUGGAAGCCAAAGGAAAAUAAAAGAAGGC